GCUGCGGGAGGCCCGCUUCGACGACGGCGGGCCGCUGGAGCCGGCCGGCCUGCGGCAGGCCGAGCGGGCCGCCGGUGCGCUGCCGGCCGCCGCCC
RNAcentral lists this transfer RNA (95 nucleotides) under Kitasatospora indigofera. RNAcentral's name for it is "tRNA-Ser". The record is from RNAcentral. Lineage: Bacteria; Bacillati; Actinomycetota; Actinomycetes; Kitasatosporales; Streptomycetaceae.